UGUGCAUUGGUGGAGUCCCUCAGCCUGGCCUGUGCCCUCUCACAAUUUGGGACCCCUCAGGGGAUGUCAGAGAGGUGGUUUCAGCCAGAUCCCGCAGGCCAGGCUGAGGGACUCCACUGGUGCACA
This 126-nucleotide microRNA precursor is filed under the name Myotis brandtii (Brandt's bat). Its description in RNAcentral is "mir-9193 microRNA precursor family". It matches the Rfam family "mir-9193 microRNA precursor family". Lineage: Eukaryota; Metazoa; Chordata; Mammalia; Chiroptera; Vespertilionidae. The record is from Rfam by way of RNAcentral.